GAGAGUUUGAACCUGGCUCAGGACGAACGCUGGCGGCGUGCUUAACACAUGCAAGUCGAACGAUGAACUUGGAGCUUGCUCUGGGGGAUUAGUGGCGAACGGGUGAGUAACACGUGAGUAACCUGCCCUGGACUCUGGGAUAACCCCGAGAAAUCGGAGCUAAUACCGGAUAGGACCUGGAACCGCAUGGUUUUGGGUGGAAAGUUUUUUCGGUCUGGGAUGGACUCGCGGCCUAUCAGCUUGUUGGUGAGGUAAUGGCUCACCAAGGCGUCGACGGGUAGCCGGCCUGAGAGGGUGACCGGCCACACUGGGACUGAGACACGGCCCAGACUCCUACGGGAGGCAGCAGUGGGGAAUAUUGCACAAUGGGCGAAAGCCUGAUGCAGCAACGCCGCGUGAGGGAUGACGGCCUUCGGGUUGUAAACCUCUUUUAGUAGGGAAGAAGGGCUUCGGCUUGACGGUACCUGCAGAAAAAGCACCGGCUAACUACGUGCCAGCAGCCGCGGUAAUACGUAGGGUGCGAGCGUUGUCCGGAAUUAUUGGGCGUAAAGAGCUCGUAGGCGGUUUGUCACGUCUGCUGUGAAAUCCCGAGGCUCAACCUCGGGCCUGCAGUGGGUACGGGCAGACUGGAGUGCGGUAGGGGAGAUUGGAAUUCCUGGUGUAGCGGUGGAAUGCGCAGAUAUCAGGAGGAACACCGAUGGCGAAGGCAGAUCUCUGGGCCGUAACUGACGCUGAGGAGCGAAAGCGUGGGGAGCGAACAGGAUUAGAUACCCUGGUAGUCCACGCCGUAAACGUUGGGCGCUAGAUGUGGGGACCAUUCCACGGUUUCCGUGUCGUAGCUAACGCAUUAAGCGCCCCGCCUGGGGAGUACGGCCGCAAGGCUAAAACUCAAAGGAAUUGACGGGGGCCCGCACAAGCGGCGGAGCAUGCGGAUUAAUUCGAUGCAACGCGAAGAACCUUACCAAGGCUUGACAUAUACGAGAACGCCGCAGAAAUGUGGAACUCUUUGGACACUCGUAUACAGGUGGUGCAUGGUUGUCGUCAGCUCGUGUCGUGAGAUGUUGGGUUAAGUUCCCGCAACGAGCGCAACCCUCGUCGUAUGUUGCCAGCACGUAAUGGUGGGAACUCAUAUGAGACUGCCGGGGUCAACUCGGAGGAAGGUGGGGAUGACGUCAAAUCAUCAUGCCCCUUAUGUCUUGGGCUUCACGCAUGCUACAAUGGCCGGUACAAAGGGCUGCGAUGUCGUAAGGCGGAGCGAAUCCCAAAAAGCCGGUCUCAGUUCGGAUUGAGGUCUGCAACUCGACCUCAUGAAGUCGGAGUCGCUAGUAAUCGCAGAUCAGCAACGCUGCGGUGAAUACGUUCCCGGGCCUUGUACACACCGCCCGUCAAGUCAUGAAAGUCGGUAACACCCGAAGCCGGUGGCCUAACCCUUGUGGAGGGAGCCGUCGAAGGUGGGAUCGGUGAUUAGGACUAAGUCGUAACAAGGUUAACCGUA
This 1495-nucleotide ribosomal RNA is filed under the name Agromyces cerinus subsp. cerinus. RNAcentral describes it as "bacterial SSU rRNA". It matches the Rfam family "Bacterial small subunit ribosomal RNA". The record is from RNAcentral. Lineage: Bacteria; Bacillati; Actinomycetota; Actinomycetes; Micrococcales; Microbacteriaceae.